AGUGAACGCUGGCGGUAGGCCUAACACAUGCCAGUCGAACGGCAGCACAGUAAGAGCUUGCUCUUACGGGUGGCGAGUGGCGGACGGGUGAGGAAUACAUCGGAAUCUACUUUUUCGUGGGGGAUAACGUAGGGAAACUUACGCUAAUACCGCAUACGACCUACGGGUGAAAGCAGGGGAUCUUCGGACCUUGCGCGAUUGAAUGAGCCGAUGUCGGAUUAGCUAGUUGGCGGGGUAAAGGCCCACCAAGGCGACGAUCCGUAGCUGGUCUGAGAGGAUGAUCAGGCACACUGGAACUGAGACACGGUCCAGACUCCUACGGGAGGCAGCAGUGGGGAAUAUUGGACAAUGGGCGCAAGCCUGAUCCAGCCAUACCGCGUGGGUGAAGAAGGCCUUCGGGUUGUAAAGCCCUUUUGUUGGGAAAGAAAAGCAGCAGGUUAAUACCCCGCUGUUCUGACGGUACCCAAAGAAUAAGCACCGGCUAACUUCGUG
This 492-nucleotide ribosomal RNA is filed under the name uncultured bacterium. RNAcentral describes it as "partial 16S ribosomal RNA". It matches the Rfam family "Bacterial small subunit ribosomal RNA", at positions 29 to 507 of the family's 1533-position model. The record is from RNAcentral.